CAGUCGCCGCGGGAAUACAGAGGGUGCAAGCGUUAAUCGGAUUUACUGGGCGUAAAGGGCGCGUAGGUGGUUAUGUAAGUGAGAUGUGAAAUCCCCGGGCUCAACCUGGGAACUGCAUCUUAUACUGCGUAGCUGGAGUGCAGUAGAGGGUAGUGGAAUUUCCGGUGUAGCGGUGAAAUGCGUAGAUAUGUGGAGGAACACCAGUGGCGAAGGCGACUCUCUGGUCUGUAACUGACGCUGAGGAGCGAAAGCGUGGGGAGCGAACAGGAUUAGAUACCCCAGUAGUCCCUGUCUCUUAUAC
Molecule: ribosomal RNA, 301 nt
Filed under: uncultured bacterium
Lineage: Bacteria
Description: partial 16S ribosomal RNA
Rfam family: Bacterial small subunit ribosomal RNA
Source: RNAcentral